GGGGCUUUGGCUCAGCAGUUACUUCGACAAUGCUUUCCUUGGUGGAAAACAACCACUCUGUGUGGUUCGAGACCCGCGGGUGCUCUCUGGCCUUUAA
RNAcentral lists this vault RNA (97 nucleotides) under Saimiri boliviensis boliviensis (Bolivian squirrel monkey). RNAcentral's name for it is "Vault RNA (ENSSBOG00000004179.1)". It matches the Rfam family "Vault RNA". Rfam says of the family: This family of RNAs are found as part of the enigmatic vault ribonucleoprotein complex. The complex consists of a major vault protein (MVP), two minor vault proteins (VPARP and TEP1), and several small untranslated RNA molecules. Lineage: Eukaryota; Metazoa; Chordata; Mammalia; Primates; Cebidae. The record is from Rfam by way of RNAcentral.